AUGGCGCCGGGCUCCAAGAAGGGUGUGGAUGGGAGCGACCCGAUGGCCACGCUCACCGACGACAUCCUCGCCGAUAUCAUCUCGCGCGUGCCGUACAAGUCCACCUGCUGCUGCAAGUGCGUCUCCAAGCGUUGGCGAGACCUCAUCUCCCACCGUGACCGCCGAAAGAAGAUGCCGCAGUCCAUCGUCGGCUUCUUCUACCAAGGUUACAACAAUUUUCGCUCCCCUAGAAAGGCUCGUUAUUUUUCCAAUCUGUCACGGCAACGCUAUCCUCUGGUCGACCCCUCACUGUCGUUCCUGCCCAAUUGCGAGCGCCUUGACAUUUCAGACGGCUGCAAUGGGCUCCUCCUCUGCUGCUGCUGGAAGUCGAUUGAUUCCGUGACAAUGGAUUAUGUGGGACAGUUGUAUUUUGUAAAUAGUCCUGGUGAUUCUGAUGGUUCUGAAUUAUCAAUCUGGGUUCUUGAGGACUUCGUUACAGAAAAAUGGACUUUGAAGCACAAUUCAACACUGAAACGAUCUACGUAUGCGUUAAGACCUAGCGCUCUUGAGUUAUUGCUGUACAUUUGUAGACGCUUCCCUGUCCCUCUGUUGGGUACAGUUCCGCUGCCCUUCAAUCAUCCAGGUGCUAUAUGA
Molecule: ribosomal RNA, 633 nt
Filed under: Triticum aestivum (bread wheat)
Lineage: Eukaryota; Viridiplantae; Streptophyta; Magnoliopsida; Poales; Poaceae
Description: partial small subunit ribosomal RNA
Source: RNAcentral